RNAcentral lists this ribosomal RNA (362 nucleotides) under uncultured bacterium. Its description in RNAcentral is "bacterial SSU rRNA". It matches the Rfam family "Bacterial small subunit ribosomal RNA", at positions 29 to 417 of the family's 1533-position model. The record is from RNAcentral.
AACGAACGCUGGCGGCAGGCUUAAUACAUGCAAGUCGAACGGGCGCAGCAAUGCGUCAGUGGCAGACGGGUGAGUAACACGUGGGAACCUUCCUCGUUGUACGGAACAACUCAGGGAAACUUGAGCUAAUACCGUAUAAGUCCGAGAGGAGAAAGAUUUAUCGCAAUGAGACGGGCCCGCGUCGGAUUAGGUAGUUGGUGAGGUAACGGCUCACCAAGCCAACGAUCCGUAGCUGACUGAGAGGAUGAUCAGCCACACUGGGACUGAGACACGGCCCAGACUCCUACGGGAGGCAGCAGUAGGGAAUCUUGGACAAUGGGCGCAAGCCUGAUCCAGCCAUGCCGCGUGAGUGAAGAAGGCCU